RNAcentral lists this ribosomal RNA (494 nucleotides) under uncultured bacterium. RNAcentral describes it as "partial 16S ribosomal RNA". It matches the Rfam family "Bacterial small subunit ribosomal RNA", at positions 28 to 507 of the family's 1533-position model. The record is from RNAcentral.
GACGAACGCUGGCGGCGUGCUUAACACAUGCAAGUCGAACGGAAAGGCCUGCUUUCCCUUGUGGAUUGCGGGUGCUCGAGUGGCGAACGGGUGAGUAACACGUGAGUGAUCUGCCCCCAACUUGGGUAUAAGCCCGGGAAACUGGGUCUAAUUCCCGAUAGGACUGCAGGGUGGUGCCUGUGGUGGAAAACGAUUUUCUAGUGGUUGGGGAUGAGCUCGCGGCCUAUCAGCUUGUUGGUGGGGUAAUGGCCUACCAAGGCGGCGACGGGUAGCCGGCCUGAGAGGGUGGACGGCCACAUUGGGGCUGAGAUACGGCCCAGACUCCUACGGGAGGCAGCAGUGGGGAAUAUUGCACAAUGGGCGGAAGCCUGAUGCAGCGACGCCGCGUGGGGGAUGACGGCCUUCGGGUUGUAAACUCCUUUCGACCGCGAGGAAGCCACCUGGUUGGAAGGGUGGUGACGGUAGUGGUAGAAGAAGCACCGGCUAACUACGUG